AUCCGAUCUGAAAGCUUUUCGGGUGGACCCCGAAACGGAGGCGGAACAGACCGGUGGUGUAACAUUAGGCCUCGCCUUCUCGGCUACAGGGCUUGAGGCCUGAAGCUGGAGAAUGCGGUCCAGAGUCCUAAGAAGAAUGAGAGCUCAGCUCAGCCCGCCAGUGGUAGUGCUUCUCGGCUGGCCUUGGGUUUAGUUGUAGGGUCUGGGGCUGGGUCCGCCCUGGGACAAUGACGCCCCAGACCUCUGGACUCAGCUUCAGGGCUGCCUCUCACCGCGUCCCCAGGUCCCAGUCCCAGGAUCCGCUUCGGGGAACCCCAGGAGUAGUGCCUUCCCCCAUCAUCCACGGGAUGGGUGUGGGGGGAUGUGAAGGACGCGAGAGCCACUGCACCGCUGACGGUCUGGCGCUCCGGUGCAACCGCUUCAGCUGGCUCAUCACAACGAAAACCACUUCUCAUCUGUUAUCUCGUCAAGGCUUCGGGCACCUCUGAAAGGUGGGCAGGUCUAUGCUAUCAGU
RNAcentral lists this long non-coding RNA (514 nucleotides) under Homo sapiens (human). Its description in RNAcentral is "non-protein coding lnc-PSD-1:2". Lineage: Eukaryota; Metazoa; Chordata; Mammalia; Primates; Hominidae. The record is from RNAcentral.